Long non-coding RNA from Hipposideros armiger (great roundleaf bat), 202 nucleotides. RefSeq lists it as uncharacterized. The transcript is spliced from 3 exons. The record is from RefSeq and is a predicted model, not a curated record. Lineage: Eukaryota; Metazoa; Chordata; Mammalia; Chiroptera; Hipposideridae.
CUGCUAGCUGUGAGGAUGACUUCCGGUUCUCCACACCCGCGGGAAACCUUUAGCUAUGUCCACAGCAUUCCAUUUAAUUCUACAAAAAGGGAAAUUCUGCUGUUCCAGGAAGGCAUGCCAUCAUCACUUUUCUCCCUACACUCCUAGAGCAGAAUGAGACCCUUUAAAGAGCCAUAGCUGGGGGAAGCAAGUUGAGAAAUCU